Molecule: long non-coding RNA, 3491 nt
Organism: Lynx canadensis (Canada lynx)
Lineage: Eukaryota; Metazoa; Chordata; Mammalia; Carnivora; Felidae
Exons: 3
Source: RefSeq, a predicted model, not a curated record
AAAAGAGCUGGAGAGAAAUGGCUACCUGCUGUGGAAGACCAGGCCCACCCUGUAUCCUCAGCCCUCUGCUCUCUCGCCUUUGGGCCUAAAACUAUGUGUGAACAAGAAGAGCAGCUGUCACUAUAUGUAUGAAGGCACCCAGCUGGGGGUGGACAACAUCGAGACCUGCAUCCAGAAGACAUUUUGUGGCUCCAAGGAAGGACAAGGUCCUAGGCAUGAGGUUGCAGGGGAAUAAAUUCCCCCCAGCUACAUCCAAAUGGGAUGCUUGACCAGACUGUCAGCUUGCUCCCUGGUAUUACCACCCCAUACUGAAAAGCAAUCCACAUAAGGAGCUCCAGCACCAGCAAAAGGUAAUGCAAAGAAGAGAGGAGAGAAAAGCCUUCCGGGUUCACCUUUCCCACCAUCUAGGGAAAGCACUAGAGAAUGAAGGUCAGCAUAAACAGAAGGACUCCUUUCUCUAAACUAAAAGCAGAAGAGAUAGGCAUUCCUCUUGCUGCAUGUGGAUGAAUAGAGAUGAAUUCCAGAAGAAUAAGAGAAAAAGGAAUGUCAGAGUUGAAAGUGAUGUUUUACCCCCGGUCCAUCCUCAUUCUUACAUCCAAGAAGCAACUGAGGGCGAAGAGGUGAAAAGGCUUUGCCUAAGGCUACACAGAGGCCUGGGUUCCACAGGGAGGCUGAAGGAGGAAGGCAGCUGAGGUUUUUAGUGGUUUGACAUUGAGCUCCUGUCCAUAGCUCAGGUGCUUCACCCUGAUUAAAUCCUGACAUAACUGUAGGAAGUUGUGUCAUUACCCCCAUUUUAUAGAUGAAAACCCUGAUGGUCAGGAAGUCCUGGGACAAGACAAAAGCUGUUCAGUGGAAACUUUCUGAGGCUAACACUGCAAAGUAUCCUUGGCCUUGACUGUGCACCUGAGCAGCCUUAUCUGUAGGGUGACCACAUGCUCUGGUUCACCUGAAUCAAGCCUGGUUUAUACCUGUUGUCCCAGGGUCAGUAGUAAUGGCACCUUCUUUUGCUCUCAAAAGUGCCCCAGUCGGGAUAAUACAUUUAUCAUGUGAUUACUCUAGUAUCUACAAAAUGGGGUAUUCAUAUUACCUGCUCAUGGAGUUUUCGCAAGGAAUCAAUGGGAUUUCACACAUAAAAUGCAUGGCAUCUGGCAUGUAGUAAGCACUAAAUAGAUGUUAGUGGUUAUUGUUACUGUUAUUAUUAUUAUUAUUAGGAAGGUAUCUGAAGAGGGGGCAGCAAGGAGUAAAGACAUGGUUUCCCACUUGACAUGCCCAUCACAGUCUCCACGAAUGGCGCUCCCUGGAGUUGGGCAGUGCCCAUUCAAACUGACCUGUUGGGAAUGGCACCAUCCACUCUAGCCUAGAGGCCAUCUGGAGGCACUGAGCUUGCCUCUUCCACCUCUCCAUCAGUCACAUUCACUGCUUGGGUCUCUUUGGGUCCCAAAGUUGAAACUGAUUUUUUUUUUUUUUCCCUUUUACUCUAAAGUCUAAGGCUUAGAUUUCUUAAAGAGGAAGAAGAGUCACAGAGAAUCCUAUAGAGGAUCCCCUCCCCCCAGCCCCAGCCUGUGCUUAAUUAAGUGAGUGGCUUAAGGGACUUGCUUCCUCUUCAAGAUUAAGAGGUGGGUGUGAAUAUUUUCCUCUGGCCCCCUUAUAUGUUCUUGAUUACAGUAAUAAAAAUGCUAAGCUCUAUUGCCUCUCACUGGAGUAAAGGCAGCUGAAAACUCCUCAUUCCCUGAAGAACCUAAUUGUUGAUUCUAGUGCAUCUAAACAGGUGUUCUUUAGAUUGCUUUUUCUAAUGCCUUUUCACUGGAAAGAUCAAUUUAAAUGUUGCUUUGAGCUAAUCAGUGAUUGCUUCUGUAUUCAUCCAAAUUUAUAUCUUUGCUUCUGCGUGCUAGAUGAGACAUUACUUUCAAAGUCUAUAAACUUAAAUAAGGGAGGUGAUUUCUAAUUUAGCUCUUUGUCCUCUUCUGUCUUCCAUAUUUUAUGCAAAAUAUGCAUGUAUUUCUUUUUGUUAUUUAAAAUCCUAGUUGAAACCUGUGUUUGAACGUCCUGAGUCAUCUUUGGAUGUCCUAUAACGCCACGUGUGGUAUGUCCUACAGAGUGGGUAUUCAAUAAAUAUUUGUGGAAAAGAUAAAUUCAUGCCUUAACCUGGAUUGCAAGCACAUUGGAUUUGUGGUCCCUAGGUGUCUGAGUUCAGGAAUUCUUUCAAUAUUGUCUGAACUUUCUUGUGUCUGCAUCUGUGUUUAUUCUGCUCUCUCUGCCUAGAAUUUCCCCAGUCCCAUCUCUCAGAAAGCUCACGUUCACGCAAGGUUCUCAUCAAAUGCCAGCUGCUCCACGAAACCAGGCUGCAGUCUCCAACCACCUCUCCUGGAGUCAGUAUCCGAACAAGGGAUCUGGAGAGGGUUGCAUCUGAUUUUCCAAACCCCACGGUACUCUGCACCUCUCUGAUUUAUCUCAUCUGUGGGUAUUUGCGCCUGGCCUUUUUUCACCCAUGGUGAGCACGUGAAACUUCUUCAGGCAACACAGAGGGUGUACUUUGCUGAACCACAGAUUUCUUGCUGAAGACCCAUGUGACAGGACUAUAAAUUUUCACCAGAAAUUGAUGGGAGAACGGACACUUCAAAGUGCCUGAAAGACUUUGCAAAAGGUCCCAAUUAGCAGAAUGCAGCUAACACCUUAAAAAAAGAAAAUAGAAUAAAUGUUGCAGUGGGAAUGAAUCUUGCCUGGAGUGCUGGGUUUUUGGCUGAUUGCCUGGCGAGAGUGGUGGCCAGGACUUGCCAGCUGGCUGAUCCACACGCCUAUAAAGGAUGCGGUCAGCUUACACCUUGGCAAGCUACAAUUUUGAUGGAAAUCUUAGAGGUCGGCAGGCGUUCUCCCUAGUAAAGUACGUUAGAUCAGGUCAUUGCUUUUAUUUGAGUGAAGAAAAUAUCCUGAUGGCCAGGAUUAGGAGCACCAAGUCAGUACUCUGCUCCAAAGGAGAAUUCAUUACUGCAUCAGAAGGGAUAUAUGCCCUAAAGGAGACAGAGGGUGUAAUUGAAGGUGGCACAUUCAUCUAAUCCCCACGUUAAACCAGUCAUGCCACCGAAGCAAACCAACUGGCUCGCCAGCAACCACACAUCUUCCCACAAGUUCCACUCAACAACCAGUUUUUCAAACUCUGAACUCCAAAGCUACUGCUUUCCUAUCCUCUUGUGUUUACUCAUAUUUACCUGUGGGUAGUUGUUUCACUUGUUUGUUUUGCAUAGAUCUGACUUCGAGGAUCAGAUGUAAACAUUCUAGUAGCCCCACAGUGGCUAGCUUAGUGCUUUUCAUCUGGAGGCACUCCAUGAAUGACAAAGCUGCCAAAGGAGCUUCCAUAGUCCACAGUCCAUCCUGAAAAUUUAAAAACCAGUUUUAAAAAACUGACAACCUCUCUAUCAGUCUCCCAAAUGGAUUUAUUUUUUUGAAAUUUAUUAAAAACUGAUUUUAGGGCACCUGGGUGGCUCAGUCGGUUA